GAUGAACGCUAGCUACAGGCUUAACACAUGCAGGUCGAGGGGAAACGAUAGAGAAAGCUUGCUUUUUCUAGGCGUCGACCGGCGCACGGGUGAGUAACGCGUAUCCAACCUGCCCAUCACUUGGGGAUAACCUUGCGAAAGUAAGACUAAUACCCAAUGACGUCUCUAGAAGACAUCUGAAAGGCAUUAAAGAUUUAUCGGUGAUGGAUGGGGAUGCGGCUGAUUAGCUUGGUGGCGGGGUAACGGCCCACCAAGGCGACGGUCAGUAGGGGGUCUGAGAGGAAGGUCACCCACAUUGGAAAUGGGACCCGGUACAAACUGGUACGGGAGGCAGCAGUGGGGAAUAUUGGUCAAUGGACGAGAGUAUGGACCAGCCAAGUAGCGUGCAGGAUGACGGCCCUAUGGGUUGUAAACUGCUUAUAUAAGGGGAUAAAGUGAGGGUCGUGACUCUUUUUGCAUGUACCUUAUGAAUAAGGACCGGCUAAUUCCGUGCCAGCCGCCGCAGUAA
Molecule: ribosomal RNA, 508 nt
Filed under: uncultured bacterium
Lineage: Bacteria
Description: partial 16S ribosomal RNA
Rfam family: Bacterial small subunit ribosomal RNA
Source: RNAcentral